CUAUAUGCUCUGAUGAACCUAU
Molecule: microRNA, 22 nt
Filed under: Eptesicus fuscus (big brown bat)
Lineage: Eukaryota; Metazoa; Chordata; Mammalia; Chiroptera; Vespertilionidae
Description: efu-miR-9363
Source: miRBase by way of RNAcentral